GAUGAAGAACGUAGCGAAAUGCGAUAAGUAAUGUGAAUUGCAGAAUUCAGUGAAUCAUCGAAUCUUUGAACGCACAUUGCGCCCGCUAGUAUUCUGGCGGGCAUGCCUGUCCGAGCGUCAUUUCAACCCUCAAGCCCCCGGGCUUGGUGUUGGGGAUCGGCGAGCCUCCGCGCCCGCCGUCCCCUAAAUCUAGUGGCGGUCUCGCUGUAGCUUCCUCUGCGUAGUAGCACACCUCGCACUGGGAAACAGCGCGGCCACGCCGUUAAACCCCCAACUUCUGAACGUUUGACCUCGGAUCAGGUAGGACUACCCGCUGAACUUAAGCAUAUCAAUAAGCGGAGGA
Molecule: unclassified non-coding RNA, 343 nt
Filed under: soil metagenome
Description: partial contains 5.8S ribosomal RNA, internal transcribed spacer 2, and large subunit ribosomal RNA
Rfam family: 5.8S ribosomal RNA (bases 1-120)
Source: RNAcentral